This is a long non-coding RNA of Mustela erminea (ermine), 1273 nucleotides long. RefSeq lists it as uncharacterized. Lineage: Eukaryota; Metazoa; Chordata; Mammalia; Carnivora; Mustelidae. The record is from RefSeq and is a predicted model, not a curated record. The transcript is spliced from 3 exons.
GGGACUGGCCUUACAGACACAGAUGGUUUAUUCAUAGUAAUAGGAGGAAAGGUGGAGGAGAGUUGCUUGUAGGGGUGUGAUUUAGAAGAUGAAUGUUUAUAACAUGACCUAAGGAAUUUCAUCCUCCUCUGGAAAACUGUGUAGGAGAGAAUCCUAAUGGAUAAAGAGUAAUGUCUUCUGGGCUCCUGCCAAACGUUUGGACUUGUGAAAAGCCUCUGCAUUCACCUUUUACUGUUUAUUGUAAACUCGCUACUUCACCAUAGUUGCUGGCUCUUUCUGAAGGGAGUGGUCACAAAUUUCUUGCCUCACUAUGACUCUGGGGAAGGAAGAGAGUGGAUGCUGCCUCAGGAAGGAGAAGAGCGUUAUGUGGGAGAAUCCAUGUCAGAGAGGAAGCGGAAUUGAAACUCCCAAAAGGAGUCUAAGAAAUAAAAUAACUUUAAGGGAAUCCUAGUGAAGAUAGGUUUCCCUGAAAAGACUGAGGAAAUGCUAAGUCUCUUUGAAGAAUUCCUAUAUCAAACAUGACAUCUCUCAAGUGAUGGAUUAGAAAAGGUAAAGUGUUAGCAUAACGAUCUGGAAUGAGGCAUAGAUUUUCUCCAGAAAUGAGGCUAACAUGUGUGAACUCCCAGAUUUCCCAGAGCUGAGAGAAGAUUGUACAUGCCCUAAGUGAAGCUAUUCCAUGGGGGAAAAGCCCACACAACGGCUAUGGAGUAGACUCAGUCUAGGUGUGGGGGAGAGAGAAGGUCAUGCCUCCAUAGUGCCAGGAAGCUAUGUAGUAGACACUUAGCUACUUGUUCAAAAACAAGUGAGCAUAGUACAUGAUAGAGCCGACAGUUAGGUGCCACCAACACCCAAAACCAGACCAUUUGAGGGGCCCAGAACUAGAGGCAGUAAUCAACAGACCAAGAGUUUCACCAGCCAUGGACUUUAGUCACAGAUAUCACACAAGUGCCCAGGGAACAGCCCUGGCCAACCACACUGGGUCAGAGACCCAGCUGGUACACCAUCUUCCUCAUCACCUUGAGGACACUGGGCAUCCCUCUUCAGUCAAAUGACAUUUUGGUUGAGGGAGGUGGGAAACCUCGGUGGUAAAACGUUUUUCCAAAGAUGGGCAUGCACCUUGAAGAAUCUCUUUAAAUUUUAAGAUACAUUUUUGAAUCCAAAGACUCCUGAAAAUGGAAAAAUUUCUAUCCCCUGUUGGUCCCUCCCACCAAUGGGCCCAGCAGGAUGGGGACUUAUGGGGAUUUGUUGCAGUGAUUAGAUACAGAGAAAUAAA